GAGGCUAUAGCUCGUUGGUAGGGUGUGUGCUUAGCAUGCAGGAGGUCCUGGGUUCAAUCCCCAGUGCCUCCA
Molecule: transfer RNA, 72 nt
Filed under: Camelus bactrianus (Bactrian camel)
Lineage: Eukaryota; Metazoa; Chordata; Mammalia; Artiodactyla; Camelidae
Also listed under: 2 other names
Rfam family: tRNA
About the family: Transfer RNA (tRNA) molecules are approximately 80 nucleotides in length. Their secondary structure includes four short double-helical elements and three loops (D, anti-codon, and T loops).
Source: Rfam by way of RNAcentral